This 662-nucleotide long non-coding RNA is filed under the name Homo sapiens (human). RNAcentral's name for it is "non-protein coding lnc-ADGRE1-1:3". Lineage: Eukaryota; Metazoa; Chordata; Mammalia; Primates; Hominidae. The record is from RNAcentral.
CAAAUGUCUUGUUCUUUCUAUGAACAUAAAAAGCCAAAAUAGGUGAAUGAGCCUAGACUUUUCACAGGAAAGCUAGAAAUAGUGGCAUUUGUCCAAUCUAUGUGUGACCACAGGGGCGCUGUAGACAAACGGAAAGGAGCGGUAACUUCCGGGUCAUUGCCAUGGCACUUGCCAGGUCAGUUCAUCUUUAGCCAAGCAGCAGAGACGAGAUGAACCUGUGGCUGCGGUUGCUUGGUUGACUCUGCAGAUGAUGAUGCAGUGCCUCCUUUAUGAAAGAUUUCUGAGGACUUCCCCACUUCUUCCUACUUGCGGGGAAGAUAAUAAGGAGAAAAGAUCAAGGAACCAGAAAGCUUCUAGAGGCAUGAGAUGUCGGAUUCCAAUAAAGCACUCAGAAGGAGCUGAUCUUACCGUUUUGGUUUGGGUAGUAGAGCGAGACAUCUCAGUGCUUUCAGUUUCUACCCCUUUCCGCAUCCCACUAAACCACUUUUUAUAUUCCAUUCGAACCUGGAAAUUUGAGUGGAGAGGUCCGUGUUACAUCCAGAGCUUGGUUUGGGAGAAAGGAUCCUAAAAUGGGAGGCUAAAGAUAAAGACACCAAGCCCUACUCUCUAGUUUUCCAUAUAAUCUUGGCCAUGCCCAUGUUGAUUCAUUUUAUUUAAACUCA